RNAcentral lists this ribosomal RNA (427 nucleotides) under uncultured bacterium. Its description in RNAcentral is "bacterial SSU rRNA". It matches the Rfam family "Bacterial small subunit ribosomal RNA", at positions 355 to 775 of the family's 1533-position model. The record is from RNAcentral.
UGGGGAAUAUUGGGCAAUGGGCGCAAGCCUGACCCAGCCAUGCCGCGUGAGUGAUGAAGGUCUUCGGAUCGUAAAGCUCUGUGGGAAGGGACGAAAAAACAGGGGCUAAUACCUCCUGGCUUGACGGUACCUUCUUAGCAAGCACCGGCUAACUCCGUGCCAGCAGCCGCGGUAAUACGGAGGGUGCAAACGUUGCUCGGAAUCAUUGGGCGUAAAGCGCACGUAGGCGGUUCGUUAUGUCGGAUGUGAAAGCCCUCGGCUCAACCGAGGAAGGGCAUCCGAAACUGGCGUGCUUGAGUAUGGAAGAGGGUCUCGGAAUUCCCGGUGUAGAGGUGAAAUUCGUAGAUAUCGGGAGGAACACCAGUGGCGAAGGCGGAGACCUGGGCCAAUACUGACGCUGAGGUGCGAAAGCGUGGGGAGCAAACAG